GACGAACGCUGGCGGCGUGCUUAACACAUGCAAGUCGAACGGAAAGGCCCUGCUUUUGUGGGGUGCUCGAGUGGCGAACGGGUGAGUAACACGUGAGUAACCUGCCCUUGACUUUGGGAUAACUUCAGGAAACUGGGGCUAAUACCGGAUAGGAGCUCCUGCUGCAUGGUGGGGGUUGGAAAGUUUCGGCGGUUGGGGAUGGACUCGCGGCUUAUCAGCUUGUUGGUGGGGUAGUGGCUUACCAAGGCUUUGACGGGUAGCCGGCCUGAGAGGGUGACCGGCCCAAGGGGGGAUGGAGAGACGCCCAAGACCCUCCGGGGGGGCGGGGGGGGGAAUUGUGCAAAAGGGGGGGGGGCCGUGCGGCAGAACCGCGGGGGGGGGGAGGGGGCUGUGGGGGUGGAAAACGUUUUCCGCUGGGGAGAAGGGGGGGGGGAGGGAAAGGGGAAAAGAAACCCCGCAAAACAGG
Molecule: ribosomal RNA, 466 nt
Filed under: uncultured bacterium
Lineage: Bacteria
Description: partial 16S ribosomal RNA
Rfam family: Bacterial small subunit ribosomal RNA (bases 12-372)
Source: RNAcentral